This 157-nucleotide ribosomal RNA is filed under the name uncultured bacterium. RNAcentral describes it as "partial 16S ribosomal RNA". It matches the Rfam family "Bacterial small subunit ribosomal RNA", at positions 355 to 509 of the family's 1533-position model. The record is from RNAcentral.
UGAGGAAUAUUGGUCAAUGGCCGCGAGGCUGAACCAGCCAAGUCGCGUGAGGGAUGACGGUCCUAUGGAUUGUAAACCUCUUUUGUCGGGGAGCAAAAGGCGCCACGUGUGGCGCUCCGAGAGUACCCGAAGAAAAAGCAUCGGCUAACUCCGUGCC